GGAGGGGUGACCGAGAGGCCGAUGGUGCUCGCCUGCUAAGCGAGUGUGGGGGUCAGACUCCACCGAGGGUUCGAAUCCCUCCUCCUCCGCCA
Molecule: transfer RNA, 92 nt
Filed under: Desulfotalea psychrophila LSv54
Lineage: Bacteria; Pseudomonadati; Thermodesulfobacteriota; Desulfobulbia; Desulfobulbales; Desulfocapsaceae
Description: tRNA-Ser (GCT) (tRNA-Ser-GCT-1-1)
Rfam family: tRNA
About the family: Transfer RNA (tRNA) molecules are approximately 80 nucleotides in length. Their secondary structure includes four short double-helical elements and three loops (D, anti-codon, and T loops). Further hydrogen bonds mediate the characteristic L-shaped molecular structure. tRNAs have two regions of fundamental functional importance: the anti-codon, which is responsible for specific mRNA codon recognition, and the 3' end, to which the tRNAs corresponding amino acid is attached (by aminoacyl-tRNA synthetases). tRNAs cope with the degeneracy of the genetic code in two manners: having more than one tRNA (with a specific anti-codon) for a particular amino acid; and 'wobble' base-pairing, i.e. permitting non-standard base-pairing at the 3rd anti-codon position.
Source: RNAcentral